GACGAACGCUGGCGGCGCGCUUAACACAUGCAAGUCGAACGGAAAGGCCUGCUUUCCCUUGUGGAUUGCGGGUACUCGAGUGGCGAACGGGUGAGUAACACGUGAGUGAUCUGCCCCCAACUUGGGUAUAAGCCUGGGAAACUGGGUCUAAUUCCCGAUAGGACUGCAGGGUGGUGCCUGUGGUGGAAAACGAUUUUCUAGUGGUUGGGGAUGAGCUCGCGGCCUAUCAGCUUGUUGGUGGGGUAAUGGCCUACCAAGGCGGCGACGGGUAGCCGGCCUGAGAGGGUGGACGGCCACAUUGGGACUGGGAUACGGCCCAGACUCCUACGGGAGGCAGCAGUGGGGAAUAUUGCACAAUGGGCGGAAGCCUGAUGCAGCGACGCCGCGUGGGGGAUGACGGCCUUCGGGUUGUAAACUCCUUUCGACCGCGAGGAAGCCACCUGGUUGGAAGGGUGGUGACGGAAGUGGUAGAAGAAGCACCGGCUAACUACGUG
Molecule: ribosomal RNA, 494 nt
Filed under: uncultured bacterium
Lineage: Bacteria
Description: partial 16S ribosomal RNA
Rfam family: Bacterial small subunit ribosomal RNA
Source: RNAcentral